Non-coding RNA from Kogia breviceps (pygmy sperm whale), 799 nucleotides. The record is from RefSeq and is a predicted model, not a curated record. NCBI's taxonomy places the organism in Eukaryota, Metazoa, Chordata, Mammalia, Artiodactyla, Physeteridae.
GAAGGAUUGGUGUCUGGGUGGUGCUUUUUCAAGGCCAAGAUCGGGAUGGUUUGCGCAGGCCACAAGAAAAGACCAGUCCCUGCCCGAGGUCGCAGACUCGUCUCCCUUGGCUUGAAGUUCCUCCAGACUCUUCGUGCCUUCUCCCACCUCCGCGCCCCGGCGGCACACUGCGCUUUCUAACUCCCAGAGCCCCUGCUUCCCGGCCAGCUCUCCCGUGUUUUUCAAGGUCACCACGGUGCAUUGAGUAGAGUUCCCGGUGCUAUGCACACUCCGCCCGCGAUGCCCCAGACACCAUCCACAGUGGGAAGGACAGAAUGCAGGGUGCAGGAGCCAGAAGUCCUUUGUCUGGACCCUCUCCAUGUCCAUCUCCUUCCAUCACAGCUGUUCAGACACUCGAAUGGUAUCCGCCCUACACUGCGUGGUACCCAUUUUGGUUGCUUCUGUGUCCAUUUUCCCAGUGACAGAUGCACGUACUGGCUCCAAUUCCUGGACCUGUCUGGACUGCAUCAGGAAAUAUAAGGCAGCCCCAGUGAAAACAGCUUGGUCCCUAUCACCCUGACCCCGUGGGGACCCCCCGUGAGGCCCUAGGACACACGAGUAUAUACAGAGCCUUGGCAUGGUUCUCCCCACCACCCAAGGGUCCAUUUCCCACGAAAGGGCACCUGCUCCAUCUCCUCCAUCCUGGCCUGUGCCUAAACCCCCUGACAGACCCCGGAGCCCCAACCUAAGCCCAUGCCCAGUCUGCACCACUAACUAUAUCUGCUUCCUCUCAGCCCCCCCAAACCUUCUGCUUGGUGUU